UAUUAAAUAUAGGAUAAUAGUUUAAAUAAAACAUUUGAUUUGCAUUCAAAAAACAUUAAUUUUUU
This 65-nucleotide transfer RNA is filed under the name Grapholita molesta (oriental fruit moth). RNAcentral's name for it is "tRNA-Ala". Lineage: Eukaryota; Metazoa; Arthropoda; Insecta; Lepidoptera; Tortricidae. The record is from RNAcentral.